RNAcentral lists this ribosomal RNA (791 nucleotides) under Pseudeurotium sp. 799_1_P01. RNAcentral describes it as "eukaryotic LSU rRNA". It matches the Rfam family "Eukaryotic large subunit ribosomal RNA", at positions 104 to 916 of the family's 3401-position model. The record is from RNAcentral. Lineage: Eukaryota; Fungi; Ascomycota; Leotiomycetes; Thelebolales; Pseudeurotiaceae.
ACAGCUCAAAUUUGAAAUCUGGCCUCACGGUCCGAGUUGUAAUUUGUAGAGGAUGCUUCGAGCAUGGUCUGGCCUAAGUUCCUUGGAACAGGACGUCAUAGAGGGUGAGAAUCCCGUAUGCGGCCAGGUGCCUACGCUCAUGUGAAGCUCCUUCGACGAGUCGAGUUGUUUGGGAAUGCAGCUCUAAAUGGGUGGUAAAUUUCAUCUAAAGCUAAAUAUUGGCCAGAGACCGAUAGCGCACAAGUAGAGUGAUCGAAAGAUGAAAAGCACUUUGGAAAGAGAGUUAAACAGUACGUGAAAUUGUUGAAAGGGAAGCGCUUGCAACCAGACUUGCGUGCGGCCGAUCAUCUGGUGUUCUCACCGGUGCACUCGGUCGCGCUCAGGCCAGCAUCGGUUUUGGUGGUUGGAUAAAGGCCCUAGGAAUGUAGCUUCUCUCGGGGAGUGUUAUAGCCUAGGGUGCAAUGCAGCCCACCGGGACCGAGGACCGCGCUUCGGCUAGGAUGCUGGCGUAAUGGUUGUAAGCGACCCGUCUUGAAACACGGACCAAGGAGUCUAACAUCUAUGCGAGUGUUUGGGUGUCAAACCCAUACGCGUAAUGAAAGUGAACGGAGGUGAGAACCCUUAAGGGUGCAUCAUCGACCGAUCCUGAUGUCUUCGGAUGGAUUUGAGUAAGAGCAUAGCUGUUGGGACCCGAAAGAUGGUGAACUAUGCCUGAAUAGGGUGAAGCCAGAGGAAACUCUGGUGGAGGCUCGCAGCGGUUUUAACGUGCAGGUCGAUCGUCAAAUUUGGGC